RNAcentral lists this ribosomal RNA (174 nucleotides) under uncultured Candidatus Saccharibacteria bacterium. Its description in RNAcentral is "partial 16S ribosomal RNA". It matches the Rfam family "Bacterial small subunit ribosomal RNA", at positions 334 to 525 of the family's 1533-position model. Lineage: Bacteria; Candidatus Saccharimonadota. The record is from RNAcentral.
UACUCCUACGGGAGGCAGCAGUGAGGAAUCUUCCACAAUGGGCGAAAGCCUGAUGGAGCAACGCCGCGUGAAGGAUGAAGGUCUUCGGAUUGUAAACUUCUUUUAUGAGUGAAGAAUAUGACGGUAACUCAUGAAUAAGCACCGGCUAACUACGUGCCAGCAGCCGCGGUAAUA